This 18-nucleotide unclassified non-coding RNA is filed under the name Chlamydomonas reinhardtii. RNAcentral describes it as "small RNA Cre_1963". Lineage: Eukaryota; Viridiplantae; Chlorophyta; Chlorophyceae; Chlamydomonadales; Chlamydomonadaceae. The record is from RNAcentral.
GGUCAGGUGCCAGGGUGG